This 492-nucleotide ribosomal RNA is filed under the name uncultured bacterium. RNAcentral describes it as "partial 16S ribosomal RNA". It matches the Rfam family "Bacterial small subunit ribosomal RNA", at positions 29 to 507 of the family's 1533-position model. The record is from RNAcentral.
AGUGAACGCUGGCGGUAGGCCUAACACAUGCAAGUCGAACGGCAGCACAGUAAGAGCUUGCUCUUACGGGUGGCGAGUGGCGGACGGGUGAGGAAUACAUCGGAUUCUACUUUUUCGUGGGGGAUAACGUAGGGAAACUUACGCUAAUACCGCAUACGACCUACGGGUGAAAUCAGGGGAUCUUCGGACCUUGCGCGUUUGAUUGAGCCGAUGUCGGAUUAGCUAGUUGGCGGGGUAAAGGCCCACCAAGGCGACGAUCCGUAGCUGGUCUGAGAGGAUGAGCAGCCACACUGGAACUGAGACACGGUCCAGACUCCUACGGGAGGCAGCAGUGGGGAAUAUUGGACAAUGGGCGCAAGCCUGAUCCAGCCAUACCGCGUGGGUGAAGAAGGCCUUCGGGUUGUAAAGCCCUUUUGUUGGGAAAGAAAAGCAGCAGGUUAAUACCCCGCUGUUCUGACGGUACCCAAAGAAUAAGCACCGGCUAACUUCGUG